This 468-nucleotide ribosomal RNA is filed under the name uncultured bacterium. RNAcentral's name for it is "partial 16S ribosomal RNA". It matches the Rfam family "Bacterial small subunit ribosomal RNA", at positions 28 to 507 of the family's 1533-position model. The record is from RNAcentral.
GACGAACGCUGGCGGCGUGCUUAACACAUGCAAGUCGAACGGAAAGGCCCUGCUUUUGUGGGGUGCUCGAGUGGCGAACGGGUGAGUAACACGUGAGUAACCUGCCCUUGACUUUGGGAUAACUUCAGGAAACUGGGGCUAAUACCGGAUAGGAGCUCCUGCUGCAUGGUGGGGGUUGGAAAGUUUCGGCGGUUGGGGAUGGACUCGCGGCUUAUCAGCUUGUUGGUGGGGUAGUUGCUUACCAAGGCUUUGACGGGUAGCCGGCCUGAGAGGGUGACCGGCCACAUUGGGACUGAGAGACGGCCCAGACUCCUACGGGGGGCAGCAGUGGGGAAUAUUGCACAAUGGGCGGAAGCCUGAUGCAGCAACGCCGCGUGCGGGAUGACGGCCUUCGGGUUGUAAACCGCUUUCGCCUGUGACGAAGCGUGAGUGACGGUAAUGGGUAAAGAAGCACCGGCUAACUACGUG